Non-coding RNA from Aegilops tauschii subsp. strangulata, 2685 nucleotides. NCBI's taxonomy places the organism in Eukaryota, Viridiplantae, Streptophyta, Magnoliopsida, Poales, Poaceae. The record is from RefSeq and is a predicted model, not a curated record.
ACUCCCACCCCACCACUCUCUCUCUCUCUCAUCCCUAAAAUAACUCUCUCACAAACUCACCUAUUCCUCGGUCCACCCCACCCCGGCUCCUCUCCCCACGAUCUCCUCGCCGCCGCCACCACCCACGCCGGCCGGUUUCGGCGAGCACCGGCCGCGCGCAACACUCCCCCAAGCUCCCACCUUCCUCCGCUCCGAUCCCCAUGGAAGCCACCGCCGCCGCCUCCCUCGCGCGGACCCUCGCCUCCUCGCCGCUCCCCUGCGGCUCCCGCCGUAGCCAUGUGCGCGUGGCCGUGGCGCCGGAGCAGCGGAGGAGGGUUAGGACGGUGCUUGGUGAGUGAUCCGUCGUCGCCGCUGGCUUUCCUCCUCCCCUCUCCUCUGCCGCCGCCGUUGGCUUUCUUUCCUGCGAGCGGGGAUCAUCCGUGAUCCGUCCGGGGCUCGCUCCCCACCUCCUUCGUGUGUACGUGCUCGACCCCCUCACCUCAAUCGUCGAUUGCUUGCUGCUCCCGCGUUCUGUUGGGUGCUUUGCGGGUUGUUUCGUGCUUGGGGCCAAUGGUAUGCAGGAUUCAUGCUCGGACAUGGCCUAGUAGAUAUCUAGUUCCUGGUGUUCAGGUCUCAUGGCUUAACGGCCUCCCCCUAAGCCUAGUUGGAUUUGUUUCAGGUGCUGCGUUGAUUAGGUCCUGGAUGAUUGGGUUGGGUAUUGACCUCUGUCUGUAUGUAGCAACAGAUCCAGGAGAAGUUUUCUGUCGGAUUAGUUUACAGUGAAUUUUCAGAUGACCGAGUUUAAGAUUGAGAAUUUGGUCAAAGCUUUAAUCCUAGGGGAAUGUCUGUCGUACCAUUUUCUUCAGUUCUUAUCUUCUUCUUGUCUACCAUUUAAGGAAACCAUGUUUUUUUACAUACAUAACGCAGCAGAAGAGUAUUAAGCAGGAAACUGUUCAGAUCUACAAAAGAGGCUAGGAGAAAAUCUAAUAAAAAUAAAAGGAAGAACAAAUCAAAGCAGGGAACUAGACAGUCACUACGCAGACGUAAGGCACCAGUCAAAAUCUCAGAAUCUUUCUAGGCCACUUCAGAUUCUCACCUCCUCCUUCAAUUCAAAAUUCAGAAAUUAUAAUUCCUCUGUUUUUAUUUGCCCACAAAAAUUGCAGCCAAUUCAAAAUGCACACACUAUCAUCUUAAUGGAACUAUUCAGUGCCUUCUUCACCUGGUUGACCAUCUAUCCUUUGCCCUCGUCAUUUAUGUAACAUCCAGUGUGUUUUGUUUACGCUUGUCUGACAUGCCAUUGCUCGCUAAACUGAAUGUGGGUGGGAGCAGCGUCAAUAAACUAAGUCUAGCAUGCCAUUGCUCUUAUCAUCAUAGCACUGAACUGUGUUGUUGAAUUGGAUUGUGUAGAUUCAUUUAUGUAUGUUUAUCCACCAUGAACGAACAAACUCUAGGGGCAAAUUUAUCCUUUUUACCUUUUAUUUCUUAAUAUAUGCAUUAAACCAUGCCUCUUAUGAUUUUGGCUUCUCAAGUAUAUUUUUAUUGUUUGUGCGUCGUGCAUCUACACUUGGUGUGACUGCUAUGUACAUCAUCCCAAGCAUGCUGUAGUUUAGCAUGGAUUGAUGAUCUCGUAUUGGAGAGUUCAAGGGCACAUAGGCAGUGUGCUUGUAUAUCUAAUCUGAGCAGUUGAUUUCACCUGUAGUGCUUCUACUUGAAAUGUGAUGAUCCACAUGCUAACUGUUUGCUCUUUAUGGUAUUCUUGGAUUUUGCCCUGUUUCCGGUUAAGAUAAUAUGUUAAAUGCAGCCUUUUCAGAUCACCGAAGACUUCUCGACAAGUUGGUGUUGUAUGGCCUGGUUGAGCUCAAGGUUAACGGAGACGGUGAUGUCUACUACACAACCUUUUUCUUGUAGACGUUGUUGGGCCUCUAAGUGCACAGUUUCGGGCAUUGUCUGAUCAAUUUUAUCGAACUCGUGAACACCAUAGAUUUGUGCGGCAACAGGUGGUCAAUCAGCAGAGCCAUAUGUACAAGAAGCAGAGCGCAUCAGUUCAUGCUCGAGCCUUGAAGAAGGUAGCAAUGUUUGGGUUUUCCUCAAGGAUGUCGGUCACUAUUUAAAGGUUCAGGUGGUGAUGCUGACGGUCGUCGAGAGGUUCGUGGACUGGGCGGUGUCGUGGCUGCCGAUGUACGGAGAGGCGAAGCUGCUGCUCGGCAUCUACCUCUGGUACCCCAGCACAUGGGGUGCGGGGCACGUGUACGAUGGCUUCCUCCAUCCACUGGUGGCGUGGCACGAGGCCGACAUCGACCGGGGCCUGCUUGAGCUGAGGGCUAGGGCGAGGGACAUGAAGGCGUCACAACUCAAGGCGGCGGCUGCCAUCGGUCAAAUGUGGCUCGUCGACGCUGCCCGCUGUGUUUCAUCGCAGCUGCAGGCCGCGAGAUCAGGUCGGGAAGGCGCCACACAUUGACAAGUGAGCCAAUUUUUGGAUCUGACCAUAACAACGUGUCUUAGUCUCUGACGUCUAGAAGUAGUGGUAAAGUUUCAAUUUGCAUGGCAAAAAUCACUUAAGUAGGUAGCUGACACGCACAACACUGUGUUUACACUCUUAUGUAAAAGAUAUGAAUUAUACACGAGUUGCCUCUACAAUGAGGAACUGUGAUAGUAGAUACGGCAAUUGUGUGAUAGAAUGGAAUUGCUUGAUUUUUUAAUUUCUAA